Hylaeus anthracinus is the source of this 817-nucleotide long non-coding RNA. RefSeq lists it as uncharacterized. Lineage: Eukaryota; Metazoa; Arthropoda; Insecta; Hymenoptera; Colletidae. The record is from RefSeq and is a predicted model, not a curated record. The transcript has 2 exons.
AACAACUUUUUCGUUAGCGAAAAUGUUGUCCGAGGCUUCGUUAAGGAGAUAUUAACAGAAAACGUCGACCAAUCAGAGCGCGCGUGUGCCGUUAGAGCGGCCGCGGUAACGAAGGCUACGCACUGAGCGGCCGCGCUCAUACGCAAACAAGUGACUCGGCGUGCAUCGAACUUUGAGCUCUAUCCUAACUGGAGUGUGAACUCCCGUAGGAAGAAGUAAAGGCGACAGAGGUUCGAGAAAAGUGCAAAAUGUGUGGUUCCGGUAUUAUCCUAUUGGAAAUUUAUUUGUAGAGGGUGAACAAACGUACACCGUAACAUAACCUACCCGAGCAUCGCUGAGCAUUGUCGAGGUGCGCAGGAGGUAAACUAGCGCCACUAACGGAUCGGAGGUGAACUACUAUAUAGUGAGCUGGCGCCACCAACGGACAGUAGAAGAACUACUAGAUAGCUGGCAAAAAAUUUGUAUGACAAUAUGGCUGCUUCGCUAUCGCGCUGUCCACUGCAGCGCUGCUGUCGUCUCUGCUGCGGUGUUGUGUUAGUAGUUUAAAGACGCUUUUCAGUAUGGUUCAGUAUCAUAGUAAGUUUAAAAAAUGCCCGCGGUCAUAAAUUUCUCUUUUAACUCUUUCAGUGCCGAGAGCCGAUAUAUCGGCCCUUGCUGCACUGGCGAGAAGUGCCAGAGCCGAUAUAUCGGCCCGAACCUUGUAGCGUUUUACUAUUCGCAUUGCGAGAGAACUCUAUAUUGUCUGUAUAUUGUUAUCUGUAUAUUGUAUCUAUAAAUAUAAAUUUAAUAAUGGGAGAUAAGCAACAUAUUUAUAAAA